GCCCACGACCCCAGUUUCAUGAGUCUAUCGUUCAAAGUUCGUUCUCCGAAAUUAAGCAGCGUCGGGCGCGGUUAGUACUUAGAUGGGGACCGCUUGGGAACACCGCGUGUUGUUGGCA
RNAcentral lists this ribosomal RNA (118 nucleotides) under Drosophila mojavensis. Lineage: Eukaryota; Metazoa; Arthropoda; Insecta; Diptera; Drosophilidae. The record is from RNAcentral.